Conger conger (European conger) is the source of this 4735-nucleotide RNA transcript. RefSeq lists it as uncharacterized. Lineage: Eukaryota; Metazoa; Chordata; Actinopteri; Anguilliformes; Congridae. The record is from RefSeq and is a predicted model, not a curated record. The transcript has 7 exons.
AGACCUCGCUUUUCUUAGCUCAUUGCUAUCGCAGUUAUCACAAGGGAAUCUGUGCUACAAAGCUAAGUUACCAACAUAAUCAUCUUUGGGUGUAGGCGGGGUAGAAAAUCGGGGCAUAGACAUUUAUUUGUAUGUAAACACAGGAGGGAUGCAAGGAAAUGAACUGCAUAUAGUAUGCCUUUAAAUACGAUUUGAAGGCAAAUUCCGUUAGUCACAACCAGUAUAGUAGUUUGAUUAUGACAGUUAGGCAAUCGCUGUACAUUAUUUCAUAUGCUUAUUUGUCCAGUGUAUUAUUAUUAUUAUUAUUAUUAUUAUUAUUAUUAUUAUUACAAAGUAUAAGAAGUAUACUAUUUUCUGUUUACGCCAUAUUCACACAGCACAUCCCACUCGAUAGUCUAUUAUACGAUUCUGUUUGUUUCCACUUUCGCUGUGUUCGUUAUUCUUAUCAGAUUUAACAGAGGGGAAACACAAGUAUUAUUUUCAGAAUGGCUGACAAGCAGAGGCUGGACAUAACCAACCAACCGCAGGUGUCCCUUUACAUUUAAUCUCUGAACGUCAUUUAAUUUCUGACCAAUCUGCAUCCAACAGACAAAACCACCAUCACCAAGAAAGGAAGUGAAGUAUUUAAAUGGUUCUAAUGAGGAAGUUAUUCUCCAUAUCAAUACCUGCCGGAGUCCAAGGAAACAAAAGCCACCAUGAUUUCUCAUUUUGUCGCACUGCUUCUUACAAUAACAAAUGCAGGUUGUGUUCUUCAUCCGCCACGCACAGUUCAAUUCUCAUUUAAAAACCUGAUGACCCUCCUCACGUGGGAACCAGCUACAGGAAAUAGGAGUGAUACACUGUAUCAGGUGGAGUAUAAAAUACACGGAGCUUCUAGAUGGACACAGAAAGAAGAAUGUUGGAACAUCUCUUCGAUGCAGUGUGACCUCACAAAGAACAUGAGACAUGUGAAACACUUAAUGUGCGGCCGAGUGAGGGCUAUCAGUCACAGCAAUGAAUCUGUUUGGGUACCGACCAUGACCAUGACGCCAUAUUCUGACAUGACAAUUGAUCCUCCAAGAUUUCAUCUAGUUCCAGAGACUCAUUCCAUGCGAAUACACAUUCACCCAUUUAUUAAGAACAGUACAGCCGGGGAGAAGAUUGAGUAUACAAUUCAUCUAAAAGAAAGAAAUUGCUCUGUAGUCACUAAGACAACAGCACUUUAUACUUACCUGAUGGAAGACCUGGCUCCUGGGACAGAGUACUGUGUUUCUGUGUCCUUCAAGAUCUGGAUAAGCCACACUCUGUAUCAUGAUUACAUCUCACCCGAGAGUGAGAUCUGUGCCUUCACUGAAACGGGCAAGUCUGUAUCCCUUCCCCGGUGACAUAUACUGCUGGAGAUACUGUAACAUAGCUGUUGUUUUGGGUAUUAUAAUACAUCUGCUGGGACUGGUUGCAUAAACAUAGCCUUCAGUCUUAGACUUAACUUAUGUUUAAGUAGGACUUGAUAAACUGAUGACUUUAAGCCGUUGCAUCAAACUGUCAUAUGAUUCACUUUACGGAGUAGUACUUAAAUGAUUGACUUCGUCAAAUUUGCACGAUUAUGGGUGAUUUAAGACACUAAAAAGAAACAAAAACAUUGUGACAUCGAACGUUAGCGAUCCGUAACAUUGACAAGUACAUAUAAAAUAGUGAGUAAACAGAUUAACCCGCUGUUGUGAGGAACGUCAAAGACGUCCAAAAGCGAUACAAAAACAUUGUGCCAGAAGCCAAAAAAAUAUCCGAAAACAGGACCUCAGCCGAAAGUGAAGCGGACAAGCGAGUUUAUAAUUGAAAUUUAUGGGGUCGAGUCCCCCAUGUUUUGGGGAUUAACGGUGGGUUAGAGAGUGGUGUCAGUGGGAGAGAGAGAACAAAUGCAAGUCCAGAUGAGUUGGACAACUAUUCAGGUAAGUCCCAAUAACUACUUACUUCAAAGUAUCUAGCUACCUGGCUACUCCUCUUCACAUUUCAUUGAUGUGAUAUUCAUUUUUCCCUAUAUCCCAUAAUCUAAAUUCCAUCACCAAAAAAAAACUGAACCUCUAUGCCAGACUAGGCUGUCCUCUAGCCCUGUCCAAGGUCCCCUCAUCCUGUCUGUCCCAGACCCCCACAGCGCAUCUGCUCCUCAAAGACCCGUCUUUGGCCCCUGCACCACACCAUGUCUGCUCCUCAAAGACCCGUCUCUGGCCCCUGCAUCAUGUCUGCUCCUCAAAGACCCAUCUCUGGCCCCUGCACCAUGUCUGCUCCUCAAAGACCCGUCUCUGGCCCCUGCACCGUGUCUGCUCCUUAAAGACCCGUCUCUGGCCCCUGCAUCAUGUCUGCUCCUCAAAGACCCAUCUCUGGCCCCCGCACCAUGUCUGCUCCUCAAAGACCCGUCUCUGGCCCCUGCACCGUGUCUGCUCCUUAAAGACCCGUCUCUGGCCCCUGCAUCAUGUCUGCUCCUCAAAGACCCAUCUCUGGCCCCCGCACCAUGUCUGCUCCUCAAAGACUGUCUCUGGCCCCUGCACCAUGUCUGCUCCUCAAAGACCCAUCUCUGGACCCUGCACCGCACCGUGUCUGCUCCUCAAAGACCCGUCUCUGGCCCCCGCACCGUGUCUGCUCCUCAAAGACCCGUCUCUGGCCCCUGCACCGUGUCUGCUCCUCAAAGACCCGUCUCUGGCCCCUGCACCGUGUCUGCUCCCCAGAGACCGUCUCUGGCCCCUGCACCAUGUAUGCUCCUCAAUGACCCGUCUCUGGCCCCCGCACCGCUCCGUGUCUGCUCCUCAAAGACCCCCCUGCGACCCUGUUCAGGAUAAGUGGAUGAUAGGCACCUGCAGCUGAUCCUGCACCUGAGUGUGGGGUUAUUAAUGCCUCUGUUGCUCAUAUCUGCACUGCUGCUCCUUAUGUGGGGGUUUAAAUCCAUAUAUCGGCCACCAUCCCGCCUGCCUCUCAACCUUAUUUUCAAGGUGGAAGAGAGGAAAACACUGCAGAAGAAGGCUUAUGUCAACAUGAAACAAUAUGACGACGACUCCGCGGACAGAAACACAAGGAACUGGGUUCAGUCCAUGGCAAAGACCAACCUCUACAUCAUGCUUCCACAGGAAACGCUACUGUCAGAGCACCCAAUCGUACACUCCUCAGAUGAGGCUUUGAUGGGGUUCUCUACCCCGCCUCCUCUUCUGGAAGGUGUGUGUCACGUUCAGGGAUAUGCCCCACAGCUCUCCUUUCCGGAGGCUCAGAUUGAUGAGCCAUAUGGCAUAGUUCAUCAUGGUCUAGGUUUAAUAGACACACAUGACUUCAGCAGUAGUGAUCCAAAAACUGACAACAUGUUGAGCCUUAGCUCUAAACCCGUUUAUUUGAACUCGGAGCACUCUGAACCAGUCUACACCAAUUCAGAGCAGCCCAAAUCUGUCUACAUUAACUCAGAGCAACCCAAAUCAGUUUAUGCCAACUCCAAGCACUCCAAGCCAGUUUAUUUGAACUCGGAGCACUCUGAACCAGUCUAUACCAACUUUGAGCCCCCAAAACUAGUCGAUACCAAUUCAGAGCCAUCUGCCCACUGAAAUCCAUUAGCACACCCACUGUGACAUACAUUUACAGGGCUGUUCGACUUAUAAUGGUAAACAUUAACAGAAAACCUUUUUUUUUAAUGUCUCCCUUUUUCAACCAGUUUAGAAUGCCCAGUACUUUCCUAAGUCCAGCAAAUCUCUGCUGCCUCCAAUUUGGAGUGUAAUGCACCCAGAAAUGCAUGCAGUUAGCCUCUGCAUCUUUUCACUCCACAGUCUGCUGCAGGGCGAAGCAACUGUACAGAUAAGGGGCUAUUGAGUAGUGAAACGGGGGGGGAAACCCUGCUGGUUGCAUUCCCCCAGGGUGCCGUCACAGUUGGUGCUGGCACGGCCAGGAUCCCUUCCAGGUCAUGAGGUGCAUUAAUGCACCAUGAACAAGUGCCUCAGCGGGAGGUAUCACUCAGGAGGCCUCAAUUUGCUCAAUUUUUGAAAUCCAGCUACAGUGUGGUACAUUGGAUUAGGGGCCAUGGUUGAAGCCGGUAAGCUGUAAGUUCAUACCAGGGCCUCUGCUAUUGCUCUCUGAUGCUUCAGUGAAAUAUCUGCUUGUAGGGAGAGAUACUGUGUGGAAAUAUAUUGUGUAGGUCUCCUAAGCACAUGAAACUGCAUUUUUCUACCCAAAGUGGAAAGCACUUUUAUUCGCUGGAAUUGUAGUUGUUAAAUUAGCUGGCAGGUAAUCGUUAUUUGUUUGUGGUUUAUUAGGCCUAUUUACAGGGUUAUAAAUAUACAUAGUAGUACAUAUUGUUUUACUCACAAAGUAGGUGUUUGAUGUUAAAAUGAAUAUACUAGCAUUAUCUAAGCGUUAACUAUCUGAGCAAAAAUAAUGUGGUUUCUAUUUUGUUUUCACUACCAGUGUAAAAAGGGCAUUCAAAUGACUGCUUUUACUGUUUUUGAGAUCUAUAGUGGGGCAAAUGGUAUAUGCGUUUAUGCAUUUCUUUGUGCAUCUGUAAUUAUAAUUCAUAUUUUUUUUAAUCUAUUUUACUUCCCCAUAGAUAUUUGCCAGCAAUAUAAAUGACCAGUUAUUCAUAUGUUUGUACAAUAAUGCAGGUUUAUCCUCUCUGUAUUGGCUGAGUAAUGGAAAUUCUCAGUGCUGUUGUCCUAAUGUGUUUCAACGCUUAUUUGUAUGCACUUGAAACUACACUGCUAAAUACUUAAUAAAAGCAUUGUAGGGAUUUGCA